UUUUAUGAGAGUUUGAUCCUGGCUCAGGACGAACGCUGGCGGCGUGCCUAAUACAUGCAAGUCGAACGCUUCUUUUUCCACCGGAGCUUGCUCCACCGGAAAAAGAGGAGUGGCGAACGGGUGAGUAACACGUGGGUAACCUGCCCAUCAGAAGGGGAUAACACUUGGAAACAGGUGCUAAUACCGUAUAACAAUCGAAACCGCAUGGUUUUGAUUUGAAAGGCGCUUUCGGGUGUCGCUGAUGGAUGGACCCGCGGUGCAUUAGCUAGUUGGUGAGGUAACGGCUCACCAAGGCCACGAUGCAUAGCCGACCUGAGAGGGUGAUCGGCCACAUUGGGACUGAGACACGGCCCAAACUCCUACGGGAGGCAGCAGUAGGGAAUCUUCGGCAAUGGACGAAAGUCUGACCGAGCAACGCCGCGUGAGUGAAGAAGGUUUUCGGAUCGUAAAACUCUGUUGUUAGAGAAGAACAAGGAUGAGAGU
This 483-nucleotide ribosomal RNA is filed under the name Enterococcus faecium. Its description in RNAcentral is "bacterial SSU rRNA". It matches the Rfam family "Bacterial small subunit ribosomal RNA", at positions 1 to 462 of the family's 1533-position model. Lineage: Bacteria; Bacillati; Bacillota; Bacilli; Lactobacillales; Enterococcaceae. The record is from RNAcentral.